Molecule: ribosomal RNA, 495 nt
Filed under: uncultured bacterium
Lineage: Bacteria
Description: bacterial SSU rRNA
Rfam family: Bacterial small subunit ribosomal RNA
Source: RNAcentral
AUUGAACGCUGGCGGCAUGCCUUACACAUGCAAGUCGAACGGUAACGCGGGGCAACCUGGCGACGAGUGGCGAACGGGUGAGUAAUGCAUCGGAACGUGCCUGGUAGUGGGGGAUAACUGUUCGAAAGAGCAGCUAAUACCGCAUACGACCUGAGGGUGAAAGGGGGGGAUCGCAAGACCUCUCGCUAUCAGAGCGGCCGAUGUCGGAUUAGCUAGUUGGUGGGGUAAAGGUCCACCAAGGCAACGAUCCGUAGCUGGUCUGAGAGGACGACCAGCCACACUGGGACUGAGACACGGCCCAGACUCCUACGGGAGGCAGCAGUGGGGAAUUUUGGACAAUGGGCGCAAGCCUGAUCCAGCCAUGCCGCGUGCAGGAUGAAGGCCUUCGGGUUGUAAACUGCUUUUGUACGGAACGAAAAGACUCUCUCUAAUACAGGGGUGAAUGACGGUACCGUAAGAAUAAGCACCGGCUAACUACGUGCCAGCAGCCGCGGU